This 493-nucleotide ribosomal RNA is filed under the name uncultured bacterium. Its description in RNAcentral is "bacterial SSU rRNA". It matches the Rfam family "Bacterial small subunit ribosomal RNA", at positions 33 to 507 of the family's 1533-position model. The record is from RNAcentral.
CGGACACGCUGGCGGCGUGGAUUAGGCAUGCAAGUCGGACGGUAGGGCUUUAUCGUAAGAUAGAGUUUGAGAGUGGCGAACGGGUGAGUAACACGUAGGAAUCUACCCUUAAGACGGGGACAACCCAGGGAAACUUGGGCUAAUACCGGAUGUGAGCAACUUUUAGUUGUUUGAAAGGUGGCGUAAGCUGUCGCUUGGGGAUGAGCCUGCGUCCUAUUAGUUAGUUGGUGAGGUAACGGCUCACCUAGGCAAUGAUAGGUAGGCGGGCCUUAACGGGUGGUCGCCCACACUGGGAUUGAGAUACGGCCCAGACUCCUACGGGAGGCAGCAGUCGAGAAUAGUCUACAAUGGUCGGAAGACUGAUAGUGCGACGCCGCGUGAACGAUGAAUCCCUUCGGGGUGUAAAGUUCUUUUAUAUGUGAGCAGUGCUUCUUAUAUUAACAGUAUGGGGAGAGAGAUAUUAGCAUAUGAAUAAGCAACGGCUAACUCCGUG